Molecule: long non-coding RNA, 15930 nt
Filed under: Nicotiana benthamiana
Lineage: Eukaryota; Viridiplantae; Streptophyta; Magnoliopsida; Solanales; Solanaceae
Description: long non-coding RNA (NBEN_LNC033549)
Source: RNAcentral
ACUUCCAACCGAGAGGUUGUGAGUUCGAGUCUCCCCAAGAGUAAGGUGGGAANNNNNNNNNNNNNNNNNNNNNNNNNNNNNNNNNNNNNNNNNNNNNNNNNNNNNNNNNNNNNNNNNNNNNNNNNNNNNNNNNNNNNNNNNNNNNNNNNNNNNNNNNNNNNNNNNNNNNNNNNNNNNNNNNNNNNNNNNNNNNNNNNNNNNNNNNNNNNNNNNNNNNNNNNNNNNNNNNNNNNNNNNNNNNNNNNNNNNNNNNNNNNNGUGUGUACAUACUACCCUCCCCAGACCCCACUAAGUGGGAUUAUAGUGGGUUGUUGUUGUUGAUAUUCAUCCCACUUUUUAUUAGCGGUUACAUGCAUGUAAAUAAUUAUCUUCUCUGUGAUUUCAUUCUUUUACACUAUUAAUGUAUAGGUCGAAAAGAAUUCAAGAUUUAAUUUUUAACGUUUUUAAUAUUAAAGUGUUUAUAUUUAAAAUUACGUGUUCAAAAUUAAUAUUCUUUGGAAUUUAGUGAUUUCUACUAGUAGUAUAUAUUUAUGUUUUGUUGAAAAUACGAGAUUUAGUUAAACGUAGAGUAUAUAAGCUUCAUCUACCUAUGUGUAUAGAAGUUAAAAUAUACUUCCAGUAUAAUUUAACAUGUUGUAGAAGUAAAUAACCUUAUUUCCUGUAUGCAUUAUACUAAUCUCACUUUAUAAUGUAAAAUUUCUUACACACUAAACAUCCAGACAAUAUAUAGUAGCAAAGACCUUAGCAACCCUAAUACAACAAUAACAACCCAGUAUAAUCCCACAAAUGGGGUCUGGGAAGGGUAGUGCGUACGCAGACCUUACCCCUACCAUAACGUAGAGAGGUUGUUCCGAUAGACCUUCGGCAUCCCUCCCUCCAAGAACUCCUCACCUUGUUCUUGGGAAAUGACUCGAACUCACAGCCUAUUGGUUGGAAGCAGAUGAUGCUCACCCUAAUACUGCAUGCAUUAAUGUUGUUUUGGAAUUAUUAUGAAGAUCAUAAUAAGUAAUCUUCUUUUUAUUUGUUACCUUUCUCAAAAAAUAAUUGAUACAAAUAAUCUUCUUUUUUUGGUCAAAAGAUGUACAUGGCUACGGAUUCAUUGCACAAGAUAUCACAUUUCAAAACACUGCUGGACCAUCUAUGCACCAAGCAGUUGCAGUUAGUAUUGAAGCUGACCAUGUUGCAUUCUAUAGAUGCAAGUUCGAUGGUUAUCAAGAUACACUUUAUACAAGAAAAGGUGUCCAAUUUUUUAAAAAUCGUUAUGUCUAUGGUACUGUUGACUUCAUAUUUGGUAAUGCAAAAGUCAUUCUACAAGAUUGCAAUAUUUAUGCAAGAAAACCUGAAGAUAUUCAACAUGAAGUGACAAUUACUGCCCAAGGAAGAAAACACAAAAAUGAAACUACUGCAAUUGUCCUUCAAGGUUGCACAAUAAACGUCACGCAAGAUUUGCGCGAACAUGAACCAAAGGUAAUAUUGAAUUGUAUUACCAUCUCAUCUAAUGUUGUCCUAACGUAUACUUAAUUAUAUAAUAAUAUUAUGUCUCAUAAGGUACGAGUCUACCUUGGAAGACCUUGGAAAAAUUACUCUCGUGCGAUCGUCAUGUCAAGUUACCUAGAUGGGUUCAUAGAUCAUGAUGGUUGGACUCUAUGGAAUGGAAACCCCUCAGAUAUAUAUUUUGCUGGGUAUAAUAAUAGAGGGCCAGGAGCUGACACAAAUCGACGAGUAAAGUGGGAAAGAAAUCUUUCUGAUUCAGAAGCUUCUAAUUUUACAGUUCGAAACUUUCUUCAUGGAAAUGAAUGGAUACCCUCAGCAAUCCCAUACACACUUGAUCUGGUUUAAAUUUAAAAAGCAUUUACUACUCUUUCCAUUUAGAAAAUAAAUAUUUAGUUUCUUUACCAAAAGAAGAAAGAUAGAAUGACUUGUACUUUAAUUUAUGUUGUUCCACAUGAAAAUAAAUGCAGAAAAUUAAUUCCAGAACUCCGAUUUGCCACUUGAAUUGGUGCAAAAAAUCUUAGUUCAAUUUCAUAGAAAAUUUGCUUAACGAGAGGUGUUGGUAAAGCACUGGAUAUUUACGAAUUGUAGAAGUUUUUUCCAUAAUUAAUUAACUCCUAAAAUACCAAAAAUUAUACAGAGAACUUAAAAAAGAGGAUCGACUCUGCUGGGGAUCGAACCCAGAAUCUCUGGUUCCGUAGACCAGCGCCUUAUCCAUUGGGCCACAAAGUCUUGUUGUUUAGGGGUUGAGAAACAGCAUAACUAUAACUUAUCAAUUAGUUUAUGUUAUGAUUAAAUUAUUAAGAACACGUAACUUGUUCAAUUCUCUCCUUUAUAUUUAUAUAUAAGUUUAUUAUAUUCGAGUUGGACUAGUUUUCAUACAUUGAUCAAAAAAGAGAAUUUUAAAAUUGUUAAGGCAUUUCAAAUCCAAUACGACCUAUACAUGUAAAUUGUAACUUUAAUUUAUCUAUUUACUUAUUGAAAAAUUGUCUUGUAACUAACUUGUGUGUUUCAAGAAAAAAGAGAAGAUGCAUGCCAUAGUAUAAGUGGUUAAUACUAUAUGAUAAUAAAUCCUACACAAUUUUUUUUAGUAAGUUUCUUUGCGAAAGGUAUAUACCUUCACAAAUGAACAACAUCUGAAUGUGAUAGGCUAUAGGUAGGGUUGUUCAUAAAAAUUUAAAAACUUGAACCAAACUAAAUCGAUCAAAAAAAUCAAUACUUUUUUAUUUGAUUUGGUUUUGGUUUUGAAAUUUAAAAAUCGAUUAAAUUUGGUUUGAUUUUGAUUUUAAUUAAAAAAACAAACCAAACCGAAUGAAGGAGUAACUAUUUUGAAUUUAUUAUUACACCUAUAUAUGUAUACUUUUAUACAAAGUUUUAUAAUAAGUAUUAAUCACUUGCACUUUUAGUACAAUUCUUUACCUUUACAUUCUAGGUUAAUCGGUAGUUUUCUUUUGUUAAGUGUAAGAAUCUAUUUCAUGUUAAAAAUAAUAUAUUUUGUAAAGAAUCUAUUUCAUGUUAAAAAUAAUAUAUUGUUUAAUUGAGUCCUUAAAUUAUUUAUCACUAUUUGAUUGAAUUAUCAUCAAUAUAUCUUGGUAAAUAAUAGAUUUCUAAAAGGGCAAUUGAUUUAAAAGUGUUACGUUGAACAUGUGGUUGCCGAAUUGUGUGUUUGGUAUUGUAUGUCUUAUAUUUAAGAAAAAUCGACAAAUAAUCGAAAAAAAUAAAAAAUCGACAUAAACGGAAUCGAGAAAAAAUCGACUUAAUUGGCUUGAUUUGGUUCUAAUAUUUGAAAACUCGACUUACUUGGUUUGGUUUCUUUUUAGGGAAAAAUCGAUCAAAAUCGAACCCUGAACACCCCUAGCUAUAGGGUUGUACAUGGGUCGGGUUGGUUCGAAUUUUACAAUUACUAAACCAAUAUAAUUGUAUCGAAUUAUUAAAUCUAAAGACCAGACCAACCCAUUAAAACUCAAUUUUUUCAAUCUCGGUUUUCGGGUUAUUCGGAUUUUUCCGGUAAAAUCUUCGUUGAACAAAAUGUAUAUCUUGCACGCAAAAUAUUUCCUUAAUCCUAGUAAAGUAUUUUUAAAGAAAAUAAUAUAAAAUAUGAGAUGUGUCAUGGUAUUAUCCUAAAAUAUUCAAUAAUAAAGACAAUAAAAUUAUGUAAUAUAAACAUUGCUAAUUAAAAGCCAUAAUUAAAAUAAACAUAAUCUAAAAGUAUUAAAUCAUGCUAAAAUAUGUAGAGUAAUAAGUAAGUAUUAAUUACAUGACUAAGCGCUAAAGAAAAAAUAAAAAUAGGUUAUGCAUUUUUAUCUAAAUUAUUGGAAACAAAAAAUAGAUAUUCAAUAUAUUCUAGUUCGUAAUAAUGAACUGGAUGUUUUUUGUCAGCAUUAGUAUUGAUUUGAUUUUGGUUUGGGCUUUUGUUAGCAUUAUUUAAUAGGAUUUUUAAAUUCCUAUACCAUAUAGGAAACCUUUUUACCCUCCAUGUUUAAGAUUUGAUUUAAUUACAAACUCGUAUACCAAAUUACCAAUCUUAUACCAUACUUAAUUAAGGGUCUAAUUAAUGGGAAGAUUUUACUCCUUAAUUAAAGGUAUCCAUAUAUCCCAUUCUUCUCUCUCCCCUUAAUUUCUACAUUUCUUUCUCCUAAUCCCAGCGUCAUUUUCUCCCUCACAUUUUUUUUUCUCUUCUCCAUUCCUUCUUAUUCUAAAAAAAUACAAAGAUGAGACCCAUUGAGUAUAAUCAUAUUUUUAGCCAGAGAGAUUCAAUAUGAAACCCAUUGUUUCGGUUAUUGUAAUUUCUGAUAAUUGUCAAAUAUUAUUCUGAAUUUUAACAAGUACGAGCGAUAGUAGAUAUAUGAAACAGAAGACUUCCUCAAUCGAUCAAUCAACAAUUCUCAAUUGUAAAUUUGUGGGGUAGCCAUAUGAAUCUUCUGUAAGUGUGACAGUGUGGGUGCAAUUAUAGUUUAUUUAUAGUUUUUUAUAGAGAUUUUGUAGAUGAAGAGCAAAUUUUAUUGUCAUCUUUUUUUCCACAUAAGGUUGUAGUAUAAAUGUAGUAAUUUUGUAGAUACCCUUAAAAAUAAUACAACUUUAUACAAUACUUAAAUCGAUUUGCAGUUUAUUUGUAAUUUUUUUGUAGAAAUUUUGUAGUCAAUAUUUUUUUUCAACAUAGAUUGUAGUGUAAUUGUAAUAUAAAUAUAACCGAUUCGCAGUUUAUUUGUAAUUUUUUUGUAGAAAUUUUGUAGAUGAAGAGAAAAUUUUGUAGUCAACAUUUUUUUCAACAUAGCUUAAAUUGAUUUGUAAUUUAUUUGUAGAAAUUUUGUAGAUAAAGAAAAAAAUUUGUAGUCAAUAUUUUUUUUUUUACCAUAGAUUGUAGUGUAAUUGUAGUAUAAAUGUAGUAAUUUUGUAGAUACCCUUCAAAACAAUAUUGCUUUAUACAUACGUAAACUGAUUUGUAGUUUAUUUGUAGAUUUUUGUUGAAAAUUUGUAGAUUAGGAAAACAUUUUGUACUCAACAUUUUUUUUCAAUAUAGAUUGCAGUUUAAUUGUAGUAUAAAUUUAGUAGUUUGUAGAUUCCAUUAAAAAAUAUUGAAAAAAUAUUUAGUUCCAAAUCUUUAGCCGCCUAAUUUGGAAGGAAUAAGCUAUUCAAAUAUUUAUCCCAAAUUUGUAGGCGCCUANNNNNNNNNNNNNNNNNNNNNNNNNNNNNNNNNNNNNNNNNNNNNNNNNNNNNNNNNNNNNNNNNNNNAAUUUGUAGGCGCCUAACUUGGAAGGAAUCAAUUCUUAAUAUUUGGUAUUUAAUAAAUUGUAUACAUUUUCCAGAUUUGUAAGCGCCUAAUUUGGAAGGAAUCAAUUCUUAAUAUUUGGUAUUUAAUGAAUGGUAUAAAUUUGUAGCAAAAAUAUAAACAUAGCGGGUAAUAAUGAAAAUAUGCACAUUUUUAGUAAUAAAGUUUCAUAUAUGGUAUAGAUAGGAAAAAAUCGCGUUAAUUUUGUUAUUUUAAGGAUGCACCGUAACACAAAAGGGGUGCAUUAUGUUUUAACUGAUUUUCUCGAAUUAAAAAAACUAGUUCUUUGACCUGCCUAAUUCAAGCACAAACAACAACAGUAAGAAUCACCACCCAGUGAAAUUUCACAAGUUAUUUAAUUUACUAAUAUUAAUGACUAUAAAAUUUAUUAGAACAUUCAAAAGUUCUAAGUCCAACCUUGAAAUAAUACCUUAAAAUAUAAAAUUAUGAAUUUUUAAAGAAAUAUUUACAAAUUACAUCACAAUAAGAAUAUUUAUAUAUUUUAUAUCUAAAAUUUCUAUAUAUAUAAUAUCGGGUUGGUUUGGUUUCGGUUUGACUUUCUUUAGUUAAAACCAAACCAAACUAAUUAUGGUCGGAUUUUUUUUAAUUUCUAUAUAUAUAAUAUCGGGUUGGUUUGGUUUCGGUUUGACUUUCUUUAGUUAAAACAAAACCAAAUCAACUAUGGACGAAUUUUUUUUCCAGCACUAAAUUAUAGUUGAAUUUUUUGUUUCUCGAUUUGACUUGAAUUAUUGGAUUAGUAUAAUUUGUCGAUUAACUUUGUAGAAAAAAAUAAAAGAAUUUUAGUCUAUGGGCUAUCACAUUGAGAUGUUGGCGUGGCCCGAUCUUUCUCUCCAAUAAAAUUGAUGUGAGAAUAACUUCUUCUUUUUUGUUAUCCUUAAAUUUCAUGGUAAACCUUAACUUUUGGCAUUCAUUUAAAAAUAAAUUUAAGAGAUGGAGUGAAUGACCCGAAUAAUGUUUAUUUGACUCAAAAGAUUUCGAACCCUUUUUAAACAAAUCAAUCUAAGAUGAUAAAUGGAUAAAUCCUAGUUAAAGAUAAUUAACUCUAGAUCCGAGAUGAGUAAGAGGAAUAGAAAAAUAUAGUCGAGUAUAAAUGUUGACGGCGAUUAUGACCAGAUUCAAUGGCAUAAAAUAAAGAUGAACUAAGUAACAAAUAUAUGAAUAAAGGAAAAGAUUCACCCAAUCUUCAGUGAGAUGGAUCUUAUUUCAUUUGAUAAAGAUGAAUCAUAGGCAAAUACAAGAACCUUAGGAUCCUUUUUGGAUCCGAUAAAGGUAUAAGAUCAUAGAUAUCUCUAGAGAAGAAUGUUUGCAUAUUUUCUAGAGAGAGGGAGAGGGAGAGAGAUCCCCCGUUUCUAGAAGCCCUUUCUUCCUAUUUAUAAGGGACAUCCAUAGAAAAUCCUAAUUUAGGAGGAAUAUUCAAUAUUCAGUAGAGUAUUCCCUUGAGGAUUCCAAAGUGAACUAGUCAUUUCAUCACGGUCUCACCUCGGCCUCUCCGACCUCGGUUAUUAAUGAUGGUCCGACCUCAACUAUCGAUGACGGUCCGACCUUGGCCUGUCCGACCAUGACCUUAUAUCUCCGCGUGCCAAAUUUCUCUAACAUAAUUUUGAUCCAUACAGUUAGUUCAUCCGCUUAUUGAGGUCAUCUCUUGGUUGAGCUCGAUGAGCGGACUUCAUUAAUCGUAAUUUGAGAAAUUCGGAUGGGGAGGUCGACCAGUGUGGAUCGCGGCUGAGGAUGCCGAUCUUUAGGUCAACAUGGUAUCCCCGUUGGCUGAACUUUAGUAGAGUUUGAUCAGGGCUAUUGACUCGAGUGAUGAGUCAAUCGAGAAGACAGUAGACUUGGAGAAGGACGUCGAGGCCGGGAUGGAGGUUUUGACAAGGAUGGCGGAAUCAGAGGAGGUCAUUUGCGUCCUUGAAUCUGGACGGGCGAGUAGGCCAAAUGUGAAUUAGGACAAGGUCACCGAAUGCAAAUUUGGGUGAGGUCGGUCGAUUCAAACGAGGCCGAAGGUCAAUCCAGAUGAGGCCGAAGGUUGAUUUGGUCGAGGACGAAAGUUGUUUCAGUCGAAGCCGAAUGUUGUUUUUGUCGAGGUUGAAUUAGUUUUUGAGAUGGAGCUUUGCCGUUGGGUUGAUUCGAUCGAGGCCAAAAGUUGAUUCGGUCGAGGUCGAAAAGUUGAUUCGGUCAAGGCCGAAAGUUAAUUCAGAUGAGGCCAAAUGUUGUUUCGGUCGAAACUGAAUGUCGUUUCGGUCAAGGUUGAAAGUUGUUUCGGUCGAAGCCGAAUCUUAUUUCGGUCGAGGCCGAAUUCUUUUUAGAGAUCCGUUGGGGUUGAUUUGGUCAAGGCCAAAAGUUGAUUCGGACGAGGCCGAAUGUUAUUUCGGUCGAGGCCGAAUGUUGUUUCGGUCGAGGCCAAAAGUUGUUUCGUCGAGGCUGAAAGUUAUUUCGAUCGAGGCCGAAAGUUGUUUCGAUCGAGGCCGAAAGUUGUUUCGAUCGAGGCCGAAUGUUUAUUCGAACGAGGCCAAAUGUUGAUUUGGAUGAGGCCGAAUGUUGUUUCGGUCGAGGCCGAAUUCUUUUUGGAGAUGGCCCUUGGCCAUUAGGGUUGACCUCCUCUUUUUUGGCCAUGGCCCUUAGCCAUAAGGGUCGACCCCCUCUUUUUUUGCUAAGGCCCUUGUCCGUAAGGUCAAUUCGGACUAGGCCAAUUAUCUAUUCGGACGAGGCCGAAUGUUGAUUCGGUCGAGGUGGAAUUCUUUUUGGACAUGGCCUUGGCCGUUGGGGUCGACCUCCUCUGUUUUGGCGAUGGCCCUUGGUCAUAUGGGUCGACCCCAUUUUUUUGUGAUGGCCCUUGGCCAUAGGGGUCGAUUUGGACGAGGUCGAAUUCUUUUUAGAGAUAGACCUUGGUCGUUGGGGUUGACCUCCUCUUUUUUGGCGAAGGCUCUUAGCCUUAAAGGGUGUUAUUUCAAAUUUAUCAAAAUGUUAACCCGUCGUCGUUCGAUCAAGCUCGAAUUUUUCUUCUUUGGCGAAGGCCAUUAGCCUCAAAGAGUGUUAUUUCGAACUUAUCAAAAUGUUAACCCGUCGUCAUUCGAUCGAGGUCGAACUCUUCUUUUGGCGAAGACCCUUAGCCUUUAAGGGUGUUAUUUCGAACUUAACAAAAUGUUGACUCGUCAUCAUUCAAUCAAGGUCGAACUCUUCUUCUUUGGCGAAGGCCUUUAGCCUCAAAGGGUGUUAUUUCUAACUUAUCGAAAGGCUAACCCAUCAUCGUUCGAUCAAGGUCGAACUCUUCUUCUUUGGCGAAGGACCUUAGCCUCAAAGGGUGUUAUUUCGAACUUAUCGAAAUGUUAACCCGCCGUCGUUCGAUCGAGGUCUAACUCUUUAUCUUUGGCGAAGGCCCUUAGCCUUUAAGAAUGUUAUUUCGAACUUAUCAAAAUGUUAACCCGUCGUCGUUCGAUCAAGGUCGAACAUUUCUUCUUUGGCGAAGGCCCUUAGCCUCAGAGGGUGUUCCCUGGGGAGUCCCAACUUUCUUGAUUUUGCUUGCAUUGGAGAAUAUGACGUAUUUCCUGGAGGAGUCCCAAUUUGCUUAAUUUUGCUUGCAUUGGAGAAUAUGAUGUAUUCCCUAGGGGAGUCUCAAUUUGCUUAAUUUUGCUUGCAUUGGAGAAUUUGAUGUAUUCCCUGGAGGAGUCCCAGUUUGCUUAAUUUUACUUGCAUUGGAGAAUAUGAUGUAUUUUCUGGGGGAGUCCCAGUUUGCUUAAUUUUGCUUACAUUGGAUGGGAGUCUCAGUUCGCUUAAUUUUGCUUGUAUUGGAGAACAUGAUGUAUUCCCCAGGGAAGUCCCAGUUUGCUUAAUUUUGCUUGCAUUGGAGAUAUGAUGUAUUCCCUUGAUUUAAUCGGUCGGCGAGUAGAGAGGAGUGACCACGCUCCCUUCUCCGAUUAUGCUUUCAGUGUCCACUACCAAUUUAGUGUGGCUGUACGCUUUAGUAAAGUUUUAUGUCUACAAUUGGGUUUGAUGUUGUAGAGGCUAUGAAGAUAUGUUGAUAGUUCCGGAAAUUAUUGUUCCUAAAAACUAAACCAAGAACCUUGAUCGAGGUGGGAUUUUCAUGUAGUGGCCGAGUUUGAAGUUGGUGAGGGAAGAGACAACCUGUGACAUAUGCUCAUGUACCUGUAGACUUUGAGGCAUACAUCUGCUAUGGGCCUUCCUAGCAGUAGAAGCAGGACAAAAUGUUAUGAUAUAAUCAGCAGAAGCACAGGUGAAGGUGCUGGUUCCAUCAUCAUACGCAUAGAUGUAAGUGUGUGGGCAUGAACUCUUGAAAAACUCUGAGUAAUCCGGUCGGCAUGUAUGUGUCAUGCGUAGUAUAAGGCCCACUACAAUAAUAUCUCGAAUCCCAAACGCCUCCUCACACGUGCUCUUGCAUGCAACGCACUCGCCGCUACCAUCAUCGUUGUAGGUACUCAUCAUCUUCAGUUCCGCCGAGCACGGCCCAUUAAGGUCCACAACACACCCAGUUGCGGUAUAGUUUCCAGCACCGGCUCCAUCUUGUGGGCUCACUAGCAUAGGAUAACCAUCCACAAGGCUAACAUCAUAGAAAUCAUGGCCACUGAUGUCGUCGAGAGUGAACUCUGAUAGUGUCGCCGCUGGUGCACUCAAGUGUUCCGGAGCUGCAAUCACCUGUGAUGCAAGUGAAUUUACUUGUAGUUGAGUCUUGGGAGCAAAGAAUCCGACCCCAUAAUCGAUCCGACCAAACCGCUGGAACUGAAACGGGUAUGGCUUGUCCUGGAUUUAACUGAAGUCCAAUUGGAGAAAGCUAGGUAGUACCUGCACCUUAUAAUAUCCCUGGUGAUAAGAAGGUGUUAACUUUUAUUUUAUGAUCAAUAUGUUGUACUAUUUCUUUUUCAAUUGACAAUUACUCAGCCAAUCAUUGCUUUUCAAAGUGACAAUCUUGUGAGAAUUUGUGUUUACAGACCCACUAAACACGUUAACUUACAGAGGUCUUGAAAGAAGAAGUCGUAUAAAGGUAGUAGUAUUCUAAAUAAAGCUUAUUUAGGUCGGAGGGAACAAGAGGAAAGAAACGGGAAGUAAGUAUUGUUUCAAUUGUUUAGCAAUUAGUUUUUGCAUUAGUUACCUCAAUAAAAUCCUUAAAGCAUAAUAUAAAAUGUGAAACUAUGUUGUUAAUGAUUUCUGACAAUAGGCAGCGAGUAAUUAAAAAGAUUUACUUAUAUCAUUGAUAAUAAUCAAUAAUUAUUUAAAUUGUAUAUACUAUUCCAUGAAACGUUAUCGGACCAAGUUAUUUAUAGAAAGUUUUUGGACCGACGUUGGAAGGGGAACAGAACACCGCCAAUGUGUAAGGUGAACAGAUGUUGUAGCUGCCUCAUUAUUGACCAGAAGCUCCUUAAUACAACUCGUAACAACUAGUACCGCCUAUUUGAGCAACCAACUUACGGUAGCAGAUUGUGGGAUUUACCUAAUUCUCAAUUCAAUGUUAACAAAUAGUAGAGGAACAUAGUUGAUAAAAAAUAAAAUCAUUUCAUUGGUUAAUGGUGAGUCAUUAUUCUCUUUUAAGAGAGAUUUUUACCAAAAGACUCUUGCACGUCUCCUUUUAAGACAGUAACCUAAGACUUUUUAGCCAAAAAGAUUAUGUAAUUUUUGAUUUAGAGGAAAUUAAAAUUUUAGCUAGAAAAUUCUCACAGACGACGUUAAAUUGUUUGACUCAAAAGAUUGCUAACUCUUUUUAAGUAAAUUAAUCGAAGAUGAUGAAGGGGUAAAUCCAGUUAAAGAUAAUUAACUCUAGAUCCGAGAUGGUAAGAGGAAUAGAAAAAUAUAGUCGAGUAUAAAUAUUGACGGCGAUUAUGACCAGAUUCAAUGGCAUAAAAUAAAGAUGCAUUAAGUAACAAAGAUAUGAAUAAAGGAAAAGAUUCAUCCAAUCUUCAGUGAGACAGAUCUUCUAUCAUUUGAUAAAGGCGAAUCAUACACAAAUACAAAAACCUUAGGAUCCUUUUUAGAUCCGAUGAAGGUAUAGGAUCAUAAAACUCUACAGAAGAGUGUUUACAUAUUUUCUAGAAAGAGGAAGAGGGAGAGAGAGCCCCCUCUUUUUUAGAAGCUCUUUCUUCCUAUUUAUAAGGGACAUUCAUAGAGAAUAUUCAGUAGAGUACUCAUUUUAAAGAUUCCAAAGUGAAUUAGUCAUUUCAUCACGGUCCGACCUCGAUUAUUGAUGACGGUCCGACCUCUGCUAUUGAUGGAUCUUCAGUAAGACGGAUCUUCUUUCAUUUGAUAAAGACGAAUCAUAGACAAAUACAAGAACUUUAGGAUCCUUUUUGGAUCGGAUGAAGUUAUAGGAUCAUAGAUCUCUCUAAAGAGGAGUGUUUACAUAUUUUCUACGGAGAGGAAGAGGGAGAGGGAGAGAGAGCCCCAUUUUUUGGAAGCCUUUUCUUCCUAUUUUGUAAGAGACAUCCAUAGGAAAUCCUAAUUUAGGGGGAAUAUUUAGUAGAAUAUUCCUUUUGAGGAUUCCGAAGUGAACUAGUCAUUUCAUACUGUCCGACUUCGGCAUGUCCGACCUCGGAUAAUGAUGGUUCGACCUCGGCUAUCGAUGACGGUCCGACCUCGACUACUGAUAACGGUUCGACCUUGGCCUGUUUGACCACAACCUUAUAUCUUCGCGUGCCUGAAUUUCUCUGACAUAAUUUUGGCCCAUACAAUGUUCAUAUUAUUUGUCUAUUAUAAAAAAAUCAAACCUUUUGAAAAAGACAUUGAGCAACUUAAUUUAACCUUAAGAGUAUUUUUUUGAAAUAGUGUUUAUCUCAUCCUUAAAAUGUCUCAUUUAAUUAAUAUUUCACUAAUUUGAGCAGUAAGGUUGGAUCUUACAAAUUAACAAACGCUUAUAAACCGUCAAAUAUUUUGAACAAAUUUAGUUUAUAAAAAAAUUACUAUUUGAAAUAAGGUUUUCGUAUACACUGCGGUCCCCCAGGCUCCAUUAGAAAAAUUUUAUUGAAUUAUUAUUAUUGUAACUAAUAUUUGGGAUCGUGAUAAUAUGAAUGUCAAAAAGUUCAUGAAACUCAUAAAUGGGUUGAAGCUCCAAUAUUACUUUAUUUUUGUGACACACUUUCAUUUUUAAUUUAUUUCAGAAGAGAAUAUUACCUUUAUAUAUCUAAUAAUAAUUUGUGUUUAAACUUUAUAUUUUAUCCUUUAUGAUGAUUUAUAGCCACAAAACUAUUUAUAGCAUAUUUAAACCAUAAGUUUCAAAAAAAAUUCUUAAACUCUACAUCCAAUCAAAAAAAUUGGAACAGAUUAAGUAACUGAUACAAUAAUAUUUUGAACAUCCAUAUUUAAAAUCUUAUUGGAUCCAUAUUUUGUCUUUUUAAGAUUUUUGCACAUUCCAGAAAAAUAUUUAAUAGUCCUAAUAACAAUAAAUUUUGUUUAAAUUACUAAACUACCCUUUAUCUCUCUUAAAUUUGUCACUUAAUUAACACUCCAUAGAUUAACAGUAAUGGCAAUUAUUUUGUUUAAAGCAAUAAUAAUUUUUUGUCUUUUAAGAACUUAAAAUAUUUCAAAACCACUAAUAUUUGCGUUCUGAGGGGCAAAGAGGUCCGUCCGCACAAAGACUAGAAUGACAAAGGUUCCUCUCUUCUUGUCUUGUAGGGUGGGGCCAUGUGUGAGAGGUAGUUAGAAUGACAACAACUCGGAUGAUAAAUUAUUAAACAAAAUACGUACAAUAAGACCAAGAAAAAUCAAACUGAUAGUUGUAUCGAAUAGAAUCAGAAUUAACGAAUUAAAACAACACAAGCCAAUAUUAUUUAAUUUAAUAAACCAAUUGACUCUCAAAGUCAGUCACCAAAAACCAACUCUUUCAUUGUUAAACCUCUAAUAUAUGCUAUACUUACAAAGCCCAAGUCAAAGUCUUCUUUGUUUCUCUCCCUACAAUCUUGAUCUCUUUGUUCAUUUAAUAGUACAGCAAAACAAAAUUUACAUUAAAGAUCUACUUUGUCACAGCUUUUUUAGGCAUUGAAUUUGGAUUAUUUCUUGAGGCCAAGAGGAUUUAAUUGAAAAUAUACAAAUUUUUGAAUUCCCUUAGAAUAAGAAAAGAUUUCAGAGUAGUGACAAAGUGUUGAUGGCGGAUACAGUGAAGCAAAUCCUGGUAAAGCCAAUUCAAUUGGCAGAUCAAGUGACUCAGGCAGCUGAUGUGGCUACUUCAUUCAAGCAAGAAUGUGCUGAGCUCAAGUCCAAAACAGAGAGGCUGGUCGUGCUGCUUCGUCAAGCAGCACGGGCCAGCAACGAUCUCUACCAACGCCCCACGAGGCGUAUUAUUGACGACACUGAACAAGCCCUGGAGAUGGCUAUAUCGAUCGUUACCAAAUGUUGUGCUCAGGGACUAAUGCAGCGCGUAUUUACCAUCAUCCCAUCUGCAUCUUUUCGCAACCUGUCUUCACAGCUAGAGAAUUCCAUAGGUAAUGUUUCGUGGCUCCUGCGUGUUUCAGCCACAGAAAGCGGAGAUGAGUACUUGGGCCUUCCUCCUAUUGCCGCUAAUGAACCUAUAUUGUGUUUUAUUUGGGAACAUAUAGCGAUUUUAUAUACUGGUUCGGUCAAUGAUCGAUCUGAAGCUGCUGCAUCACUGAUUUCACUAGCUAAGGACAAUCAUCGGAAUGGAAAAUUGAUCGUUGAAGAAGGUGGAGUUGGACCAUUGUUGAAAUUGUUGAAAGAAGGAAAAUUGCAAGGUCAGGAGAAUGCUGCAAAGGCAAUUGGACUAUUAGGACGUGACACUGAUAGCAUCGAACACAUGGUGCAUCUCGGUGUAUGCUCAGUGUUUGUGAAAAUCCUCAAAGAAGGUUCAAUGAAAGUUCAAGCUAUCGUGGCUUGGGCAGUUUCUGAACUUUCUGCAAAUAACCCAAAAUGUCAGGAUCUCUUUCAUCAGGAUAAUAUAAUUAGAUUACUUGUUAGCCAUCUCGCUUUUGAGACAGUCCAGGAGCAUAGCAAGUAUGCUAUUACUAGCAAAGCCACGUCGAUUCAUGCUGUCGUUUUUGCUAGUAAUAAUAGUGAGGGUAAUGUGACUAGUGUGCACAAUGUGAACUAUAAUAAUGAUGAUGUAAAGCAUCACCAUCAGCACAGUGUUUCUACUACAGGGGUAAGUAGUAAAGGGCGAGAACUCGAGGAGUCUGCUACUAAGGAUUAUAUGAAGGCAAUGGCUGCAAGAGCUCUAUGGAAACUUGCCAAGGGAAAUUCAUCUAUUUGCCGUAGCAUUACUGAAUUAAAAGCACUGCUUUGCUUUGCAUUAUUGUUAGAGAAAGGGACUGAAGAUAUUCAGUACAAUUCAGCUAUGGCAGUAAUGGAAAUCACAGCUGUGGCGGAGCAAGAUUCUGAUUUGAGAAAGUCAGCAUUCAAGCCUAAUUCACCCCCUUGCAAAGCUCUUGUUGAUCAACUGCUGAGAAUCAUCGAAAAAGAAUAUUUAAAUCUGCUCAUUCCGUGCAUUAGAUCUAUUGGGAAUUUGGCUAGGACUUUUCGAGCUACAGACACGAGGAUGAUUAGCCCAUUAGUAAAGCUGCUCGAUGAACGAGAAGCAGAGAUUUCAAACGAAGCAGCCAUUGCACUCGCAAAAUUUGCGUGCAAUGAUAACUACCUUCACAUGGAUCAUUGUAAAGCGAUCAUAAGCAUGGGAGGGGCAAAGCAUUUGAUUCAACUUGUUUUCCUUGGUGAUAAAAUAGUUCAGCGUUCUGCAUUACUACUGUUAUGUUACAUUGCAUUGCACGUCCCUGAUAGCGAUGAGCUAGCUCAAUCCGAGGUGCUUUCAGUGCUAGAAUGGUCCUCGAAGCAAGCAUACUUGAACCAAGAUGAAAAGGUGGAGACAUUGUUGCAUGAAUCGAAAAGCAGGCUUGAACUCUAUCAAUCUAGAGGAUCAAGGGGAUUCCAUUGACUGCAUCUGUGACUUGAUGAGCAUAAUUUGCAUGUCGUUAGAUGAGAUAUUCUGUUUCUUGUUUUUAAAUGUCUUGACAAGAGGGGUUGCUCUGAUGCUAAGCAACCCCACUUCCAACCUCCGUUGUGAGUUUGAGUCUCCUCAAGAGCAAGGUGGGAAGUUCUUGGAGGGAAGGAUGCCGGGGUCUAUUUGGAAANNNNNNNNNNNNNNNNNNNNNNNNNNNNNNNNNNNNNNNNNNNNNNNNNNNNNNNNNNNNNNNNNNNNNNNNNNNNNNNNNNNNNNNNNNNNNNNNNNNNNNNNNNNNNNNNNNNNNNNNNNNNNNNNNNNNNNNNNNNNNNNNNNNNNGGUUGUGAGUUCGAGUCUCCCCAAGAGCAAGGUGGGAAGUUCUUGGAGGGAAGGAUGACGGGGGUCUAUUUGGAAACAGCCUCUCUCCCUAAGGGUAGGGGUAAAGUCUGCAUACACACUACCCUUCCCCAGACCCCACUAAGUGGGAUUAUACUGGGUUGUUGUUGUUGUUGUUUUUAAAUGUCUUCCUAUUUCCUAUGGUCAUGGAAUGUAUGUAAAAUAAACUUUUUAUCCUGCAAAAAUUUUGUUUAAGAAGAUCUCAGGGAAUCCUCAGUAUUCUGUUGGAAUCCCCAAUUCAUUUGGUACUGAAGCGUAGUAGUAGUUGUUGUAAUAUAAAAUCAUUUUAUUCGGCUUUGUGAUUUUUCUUUCAUUCUGUUUAAGGGUGAAAAGAAUGGACCUUGGGCCUAACUCAACCCCAAAAGCUAGC